UGAAGUUACUCUGAGCACUGAG
This 22-nucleotide microRNA is filed under the name Glycine max (soybean). RNAcentral's name for it is "gma-miR9727". Lineage: Eukaryota; Viridiplantae; Streptophyta; Magnoliopsida; Fabales; Fabaceae. The record is from miRBase by way of RNAcentral.